This 497-nucleotide ribosomal RNA is filed under the name uncultured bacterium. Its description in RNAcentral is "partial 16S ribosomal RNA". It matches the Rfam family "Bacterial small subunit ribosomal RNA", at positions 28 to 507 of the family's 1533-position model. The record is from RNAcentral.
GAUGAACGCUGGCGGCGUGCCUAAUACAUGCAAGUCGAGCGAACAGAUGAGGAGCUUGCUCCUCCGACGUUAGCGGCGGACGGGUGAGUAACAUGUGGAUAACCUACCUAUAAGACUGGGAUAACUUCGGGAAACCGGCGCUAAUACCGGAUAAUAUAUUGACCCGCAUGGUUCAAUAGUGAAAGACGGUUUUGCUGUCACUUAUAGCUGGAUCCGCCCCGCAUUAGUUAGUUGGUAAGGUAAAGGCUUACCCAGGCAACGAUGCGUAGCCGACCUGAGAGGGUGAUCGGCCACACUGGAACUGAGGCACGGUCCAGACUCCUACGGGAGGCAGCAGUAGGGAAUCUUCCGCGAUGGGCGAGAGCCUGACGGUACAACGCCGCGGGAGUGAUGAAGUUCUUCGGAUCGUAAAGCGCUGUUAUUAGUGAAGAACAAAUGUGUAAGUAGCUAUGCACGUCUUGACGGUACCUAAUCAGAAAGCCACGGCUAACUACGUG